UUUUUUCAGGAACUCAUUGUGUCUUCUUUCUCCCAUCCCAGGUAUUCUUUCCAAAUGGCUAUGUAGUCAAAUUCCCUGAAGAGGAAGUUGACAGUCUGUACAGAGUCCCAGGUAGCUGGAAUUGGACCUUGGAUCCAUCAUUCUCACAUCUGUCCUGCUGCUCCGCCCUUGCCGUCCGUCAGAAAGAGGUGGAAAGUAACCCGGCACCUGACUGACCCACUUAAUGUGUGCAUC
Molecule: long non-coding RNA, 234 nt
Filed under: Monodelphis domestica (gray short-tailed opossum)
Lineage: Eukaryota; Metazoa; Chordata; Mammalia; Didelphimorphia; Didelphidae
Description: lncRNA (ENSMODG00000037122.1)
Source: RNAcentral